AACAGCUAUGGGUCAAGUCCGAUAUCUUUAGGAGAAGUCUUAUUGUGAGGGCGAGUUUUAUAACACCAUAGGACUGGCCGUCCCAUAUGAAAAGAUUAUAUUAGAAUUGAAUGAAGCUUUGUUUAUAUAUUGAUAAUGACAGUAUAUAUAUCGUGUCUUGACUAAUUGCGUGCCAGCAGUCGCGGUAAUACGUAAGAGACUAGUGUUAUUCAUCUUAAUUAGGUUUAAAGGGUACCCAGACGGUCAAUAUAGCUUAUAAAAUGUUAGUACUUGACUAGAGUUUUAUGUAAGAGGGCAGUACUUGAGGAGGAGAGAUGAAAUUUCGUGAUACCAAAGGGACUCUGUAAAGGCGAAGGCAGCCCUCUAUGUAAAAACUGACGUUGAAGGACGAAGGCACAGAGAACAAACAGGAUUAGAUACCCAAGUAGUCUUUGCAGUAAAUGAUGAAUGCCAUAGGUUAGAUGGGUGGGUAGUCUAGUUGAGUUAAUUUAGCAAACUAAUGAUCUAGACUAGUCCACCAUAUAUUUGGUCUAUAAAUGAAAGUGUAAGCAUUUCACCUCAAGAGUA
This 567-nucleotide ribosomal RNA is filed under the name Fusarium oxysporum f. sp. ciceris. Its description in RNAcentral is "SSU rRNA". It matches the Rfam family "Bacterial small subunit ribosomal RNA", at positions 379 to 882 of the family's 1533-position model. The record is from RNAcentral. Lineage: Eukaryota; Fungi; Ascomycota; Sordariomycetes; Hypocreales; Nectriaceae.